This 2905-nucleotide ribosomal RNA is filed under the name Enterobacter hormaechei subsp. xiangfangensis. RNAcentral's name for it is "23S ribosomal RNA". It matches the Rfam family "Bacterial large subunit ribosomal RNA". The record is from RNAcentral. Lineage: Bacteria; Pseudomonadati; Pseudomonadota; Gammaproteobacteria; Enterobacterales; Enterobacteriaceae.
GGUUAAGCGACUAAGCGUACACGGUGGAUGCCCUGGCAGUCAGAGGCGAUGAAGGACGUGCUAAUCUGCGAAAAGCGCCGGCGAGGUGAUAUGAACCCUUGACCCGGCGAUGUCCGAAUGGGGAAACCCAGUGCAAUCCGUUGCACUAUCGUUAACUGAAUACAUAGGUUAACGAGGCGAACCGGGGGAACUGAAACAUCUAAGUACCCCGAGGAAAAGAAAUCAACCGAGAUUCCCCCAGUAGCGGCGAGCGAACGGGGAGCAGCCCGGAGUCUGAAUCAGCUUGUGUGUUAGUGGAACGGUCUGGAAAGUCCGACGGUACAGGGUGAUAGUCCCGUACACGAAAGCACACUUGCUGUGAACUCGAAGAGUAGGGCGGGACACGUGGUAUCCUGUCUGAAUAUGGGGGGACCAUCCUCCAAGGCUAAAUACUCCUGACUGACCGAUAGUGAACCAGUACCGUGAGGGAAAGGCGAAAAGAACCCCGGCGAGGGGAGUGAAAAAGAACCUGAAACCGUGUACGUACAAGCAGUGGGAGCCUCUUUAUGGGGUGACUGCGUACCUUUUGUAUAAUGGGUCAGCGACUUAUAUUCUGUAGCAAGGUUAACCGUAUAGGGGAGCCGCAGGGAAACCGAGUCUUAACUGGGCGUUAAGUUGCAGGGUAUAGACCCGAAACCCGGUGAUCUAGCCAUGGGCAGGUUGAAGGUUGGGUAACACUAACUGGAGGACCGAACCGACUAAUGUUGAAAAAUUAGCGGAUGACUUGUGGCUGGGGGUGAAAGGCCAAUCAAACCGGGAGAUAGCUGGUUCUCCCCGAAAGCUAUUUAGGUAGCGCCUCGUGAACUCAUCUUCGGGGGUAGAGCACUGUUUCGGCUAGGGGGUCAUCCCGACUUACCAACCCGAUGCAAACUACGAAUACCGAAGAAUGUUAUCACGGGAGACACACGGCGGGUGCUAACGUCCGUCGUGAAGAGGGAAACAACCCAGACCGCCAGCUAAGGUCCCAAAGUCAUGGUUAAGUGGGAAACGAUGUGGGAAGGCACAGACAGCCAGGAUGUUGGCUUAGAAGCAGCCAUCAUUUAAAGAAAGCGUAAUAGCUCACUGGUCGAGUCGGCCUGCGCGGAAGAUGUAACGGGGCUAAACCAUGCACCGAAGCUGCGGCAGCGACACUAUGUGUUGUUGGGUAGGGGAGCGUUCUGUAAGCCGUUGAAGGUGUGCUGUGAGGCAUGCUGGAGGUAUCAGAAGUGCGAAUGCUGACAUAAGUAACGAUAAAGCGGGUGAAAAGCCCGCUCGCCGGAAGACCAAGGGUUCCUGUCCAACGUUAAUCGGGGCAGGGUGAGUCGACCCCUAAGGCGAGGCCGAAAGGCGUAGUCGAUGGGAAACAGGUUAAUAUUCCUGUACUUGGUGUUACUGCGAAGGGGGGACGGAGAAGGCUAUGUCAGCCGGGCGACGGUUGUCCCGGUUUAAGCAUGUAGGCGGAGGUUCCAGGUAAAUCCGGUACCUUAUUAACGCUGAGGUGUGAUGACGAGGCACUACGGUGCUGAAGUGAUAAAUGCCCUGCUUCCAGGAAAAGCCUCUAAGCAUCAGGUAACACGAAAUCGUACCCCAAACCGACACAGGUGGUCAGGUAGAGAAUACCAAGGCGCUUGAGAGAACUCGGGUGAAGGAACUAGGCAAAAUGGUGCCGUAACUUCGGGAGAAGGCACGCUGAUGUGUAGGUGAAGCCCCUGCGGGCGGAGCUGAAAUCAGUCGAAGAUACCAGCUGGCUGCAACUGUUUAUUAAAAACACAGCACUGUGCAAACACGAAAGUGGACGUAUACGGUGUGACGCCUGCCCGGUGCCGGAAGGUUAAUUGAUGGGGUUAUCCGUAAGGAGAAGCUCUUGAUCGAAGCCCCGGUAAACGGCGGCCGUAACUAUAACGGUCCUAAGGUAGCGAAAUUCCUUGUCGGGUAAGUUCCGACCUGCACGAAUGGCGUAAUGAUGGCCAGGCUGUCUCCACCCGAGACUCAGUGAAAUUGAACUCGCUGUGAAGAUGCAGUGUACCCGCGGCAAGACGGAAAGACCCCGUGAACCUUUACUAUAGCUUGACACUGAACAUUGAGCCUUGAUGUGUAGGAUAGGUGGGAGGCUUUGAAGCGUGGACGCCAGUCUGCGUGGAGCCAACCUUGAAAUACCACCCUUUAAUGUUUGAUGUUCUAACGUUGGCCCCUGACCGGGGUUGCGGACAGUGUCUGGUGGGUAGUUUGACUGGGGCGGUCUCCUCCCAAAGCGUAACGGAGGAGCACGAAGGUUAGCUAAUCCUGGUCGGACAUCAGGAGGUUAGUGCAAUGGCAUAAGCUAGCUUGACUGCGAGCGUGACGGCGCGAGCAGGUGCGAAAGCAGGUCAUAGUGAUCCGGUGGUUCUGAAUGGAAGGGCCAUCGCUCAACGGAUAAAAGGUACUCCGGGGAUAACAGGCUGAUACCGCCCAAGAGUUCAUAUCGACGGCGGUGUUUGGCACCUCGAUGUCGGCUCAUCACAUCCUGGGGCUGAAGUAGGUCCCAAGGGUAUGGCUGUUCGCCAUUUAAAGUGGUACGCGAGCUGGGUUUAGAACGUCGUGAGACAGUUCGGUCCCUAUCUGCCGUGGGCGCUGGAGAAUUGAGGGGGGCUGCUCCUAGUACGAGAGGACCGGAGUGGACGCAUCACUGGUGUUCGGGUUGUCAUGCCAAUGGCACUGCCCGGUAGCUAAAUGCGGAAGAGAUAAGUGCUGAAAGCAUCUAAGCACGAAACUUGCCCCGAGAUGAGUUCUCCCUGAGACCUUGAGUCUCCUGAAGGAACGUUAAAGACGAUGACGUUGAUAGGUCGGGUGUGUAAGCGCAGCGAUGCGUUGAGCUAACCGAUACUAAUGAACCGUGAGGCUUAACCUU